UACAGAGGGUGCGAGCGUUGUUCGGAAUUAUUGGGCGUAAAGCGCUUGUAGGCGGUCUAUCAAGUCUCGUGUGAAAUCCCCAGGCUUAACCUGGGAAGUGCGCGGGAAACUGAAGGACUUGAGUGCCGGAGAGGGUCGCGGAAUUCCCGGUGUAGAGGUGAAAUUCGUAGAUAUCGGGAGGAACACCAGUGGCGAAGGCGGCGACCUGGACGGACACUGACGCUGAGACGCGAAAGCGUGGGGAGCAAACAGG
Molecule: ribosomal RNA, 253 nt
Filed under: uncultured bacterium
Lineage: Bacteria
Description: partial 16S ribosomal RNA
Rfam family: Bacterial small subunit ribosomal RNA
Source: RNAcentral